Molecule: ribosomal RNA, 521 nt
Filed under: uncultured bacterium
Lineage: Bacteria
Description: bacterial SSU rRNA
Rfam family: Bacterial small subunit ribosomal RNA
Source: RNAcentral
CUGGCUCAGAUUGAACGCUGGCGGCAGGCCUAACACAUGCAAGUCGAACGGUAACAGGAGAAGCUUGCUUCUUGCUGACGAGUGGCGGACGGGUGAGUAAUGGUCUGGGAAACUGCCUGGAUGGAGGGGGGAUAACUACUGGAAACGGUAGCUAAUACCGCCAUAACGUCGCAAGGACCAAAGAGGGGGACCUUCGGGCCUCUUGCCAUCGGGAUGUGCCCGAGAAUGGGAUUAGCUUGUUGGUGGGGUAACGGCUCACCAAGGCGACGAUCCCUAGCUGGUCUGAGAGGAUGACCAGCCACACUGGAACUCGAGACACGGUCCAGACUCCUACGGGAGGCAGCAGUGGGGAAUAUUGCACAAUGGGGCGCAAGCCUGAGUGCAGCCAUGCCGCGUGUAUGAAGAAGGCCUUCGGGUUGUAAAGUACUUUCAGCGGGGAGGAAGGGAGUAAAGUUAACGUACCUUUGCUCAUUGACGUUACCCGCAGAAGAAGCACCGGCUAACUCCGUGCCAGCAGCUGC